ACUUAUUUAGUAUAAUAGUAUAUUUGACUUCCAAUCAAAAGGGCUGGACUCCAGAAUAAGUA
RNAcentral lists this transfer RNA (62 nucleotides) under Serratella sp. Liaoning-2019. Its description in RNAcentral is "tRNA-Gly". It matches the Rfam family "tRNA". From Rfam's summary of the family: Transfer RNA (tRNA) molecules are approximately 80 nucleotides in length. Their secondary structure includes four short double-helical elements and three loops (D, anti-codon, and T loops). Further hydrogen bonds mediate the characteristic L-shaped molecular structure. tRNAs have two regions of fundamental functional importance: the anti-codon, which is responsible for specific mRNA codon recognition, and the 3' end, to which the tRNAs corresponding amino acid is attached (by aminoacyl-tRNA synthetases). tRNAs cope with the degeneracy of the genetic code in two manners: having more than one tRNA (with a specific anti-codon) for a particular amino acid; and 'wobble' base-pairing, i.e. permitting non-standard base-pairing at the 3rd anti-codon position. Lineage: Eukaryota; Metazoa; Arthropoda; Insecta; Ephemeroptera; Ephemerellidae. The record is from RNAcentral.